UUCAUCUAAUUCAAUGUCACAAAAAUUUAAUUUAGGGUUGAUGGAACUUUGAAACUUGUAGUAAUAUGAUAUGCCAGCAGUACGAAUUGUUAAAUUGAUGUUACAGAUGUGUAUACCUUGAAGAAAUGUAGGAUGGAUUGUGGACACAGGUGAUUCAGCGGCUCACCUCCAGAAGAACUGGUGCAAUUCUGUACUGCCAUUGAGUCGCAGUAAGAAAUAGUUUUAAGUUUAUUUUUCAGUAUUCUACUAUUGGAAAGUCUUGCUAAACCGUGUGGCAAUGAAAUCACGUUUGACUCAGCAAAAAGGUAAGCUGCCAGGUGGGAAGGAUGAUUAAUUGUCAUCCUACUGUAAUGCGGAACUGGUCAGCUGCAUGGCAUCGAAUAGAAGUGCAACGAGCUUAUUUUUAGGAUCUUUCAGUAUACAAAUCCCAUAAUGGAACUUCUUAAAAUGGUAGGCUGUUUCAAGGAUUACCUGGGGAAAAAAAAAUUGUGUAGUCGCAAUGGUUGAGAAUUAAAAGUUAGUAGUUGAAAUGAAAAUAGAUAUCCGAUUCUCUUUUUCAAUCCUUUUUCAUUUCAUACUUGCAUUUAUAAAAAUGCGAGUAAAACUUGAGUUCUAUAAAUCGCAUAUCUCGUGUAAGAAAACGACUUAAGAUUCCAAGGGUUACGUGGAACAGGUGCGUGACCUGUGACUUGUGUCAAAAUGUGCGACGAAUGUGCGCUUAUUCGUCACUGGCCUUCCAGGAUUUUGCAUCGAUGCAGAUUUUUGAUGAGGCUGAAAACUGCAACCAGAAUGCAAGGUGGAAAACUGCGGAAUUGAAAUGGUACGUAAUCAACAAAGCCUGAGCAAAAAAUGCAAUUGGAAGCCAAGUUAGAAGAACAGAACAAGCUGAGGUACACACUACUUCUACAUUGCUAACU
Daphnia magna is the source of this 917-nucleotide long non-coding RNA. RefSeq lists it as uncharacterized. The record is from RefSeq and is a predicted model, not a curated record. The transcript has 3 exons. NCBI's taxonomy places the organism in Eukaryota, Metazoa, Arthropoda, Branchiopoda, Diplostraca, Daphniidae.